GAUGAACGCUGGCGGCGUGCCUAAUACAUGCAAGUCGAGCGAACGGACGAGAAGCUUGCUUCUCUGAUGUUAGCGGCGGACGGGUGAGUAACACGUGGAUAACCUACCUAUAAGACUGGGAUAACUUCGGGAAACCGGAGCUAAUACCGGAUAAUAUUUUGAACCGCAUGGUUCAAAAGUGAAAGACGGUCUUGCUGUCACUUAUAGAUGGAUCCGCGCUGCAUUAGCUAGUUGGUAAGGUAACGGCUUACCAAGGCAACGAUGCAUAGCCGACCUGAGAGGGUGAUCGGCCACACUGGAACUGAGACACGGUCCAGACUCCUACGGGAGGCAGCAGUAGGGAAUCUUCCGCAAUGGGCGAAAGCCUGACGGAGCAACGCCGCGUGAGUGAUGAAGGUCUUCGGAUCGUAAAACUCUGUUAUUAGGGAAGAACAUAUGUGUAAGUAACUGUGCACAUCUUGACGGUACCUAAUCAGAAAGCCACGGCUAACUACGUGCCAGCAGCCGCGGUAAUACGUAGGUGGCAAGCGUUAUCCGGAAUUAUUGGGCGUAAAGCGCGCGUAGGCGGUUUUUUAAGUCUGAUGUGAAAGCCCACGGCUCAACCGUGGAGGGUCAUUGGAAACUGGAAAACUUGAGUGCAGAAGAGGAAAGUGGAAUUCCAUGUGUAGCGGUGAAAUGCGCAGAGAUAUGGAGGAACACCAGUGGCGAAGGCGACUUUCUGGUCUGUAACUGACGCUGAUGUGCGAAAGCGUGGGGAUCAAACAGGAUUAGAUACCCUGGUAGUCCACGCCGUAAACGAUGAGUGCUAAGUGUUAGGGGGUUUCCGCCCCUUAGUGCUGCAGCUAACGCAUUAAGCACUCCGCCUGGGGAGUACGACCGCAAGGUUGAAACUCAAAGGAAUUGACGGGGACCCGCACAAGCGGUGGAGCAUGUGGUUUAAUUCGAAGCAACGCGAAGAACCUUACCAAAUCUUGACAUCCUUUGACAACUCUAGAGAUAGAGCUUUCCCCUUCGGGGGACAAAGUGACAGGUGGUGCAUGGUUGUCGUCAGCUCGUGGCGUGAGAUGUUGGGUUAAGUCCCGCAACGAGCGCAACCCUUAAGCUUAGUUGCCAUCAUUAAGUUGGGCACUCUAAGUUGACUGCCGGUGACAAACCGGAGGAAGGUGGGGAUGACGUCAAAUCAUCAUGCCCCUUAUGAUUUGGGCUACACACGUGCUACAAUGGACAAUACAAAGGGCAGCGAAACCGUGAGGUCAAGCAAAUCCCAUAAAGUUGUUCUCAGUUCGGAUUGUAGUCUGCAACUCGACUACAUGAAGCUGGAAUCGCUAGUAAUCGUAGAUCAGCAUGCUACGGUGAAUACGUUCCCGGGUCU
This 1372-nucleotide ribosomal RNA is filed under the name uncultured bacterium. Its description in RNAcentral is "bacterial SSU rRNA". It matches the Rfam family "Bacterial small subunit ribosomal RNA", at positions 28 to 1381 of the family's 1533-position model. The record is from RNAcentral.